CCCUUAGAUGUUCUGGGCUGCACGCGUGCUACAAUGGUAUGCUCAGUAAGCUUCCAUUCCUGAAGAGGCUUGGAAAUCUUGAAAGCAUGUUGUGACUGGGCUUGAUGCUUGUAACUAUUCGUCACUAACGAGGAAUCCCUAGUAAAUGCGAGUCAUCAUCUCGCUUUGAUUACGUCCCUGCCCUUUGUACACACCGCCCGUCGCUCCUACCGAUUGAAUGUUCCGGUGAAUUCUAUGGAGAACGCUCUCUUAAUCUUCAAGAAAGUAUUCAAAGUUGAUUAAAUCUUAACAUUUAGAGGAAGGAGAANUCGUANCA
RNAcentral lists this ribosomal RNA (316 nucleotides) under uncultured eukaryote. Its description in RNAcentral is "partial 18S ribosomal RNA". It matches the Rfam family "Eukaryotic small subunit ribosomal RNA", at positions 1470 to 1796 of the family's 1831-position model. The record is from RNAcentral.